Molecule: non-coding RNA, 85 nt
Organism: Dactylonectria estremocensis
Lineage: Eukaryota; Fungi; Ascomycota; Sordariomycetes; Hypocreales; Nectriaceae
Source: the annotation of a GenBank genome assembly
UCCGAUGUAGUGUAACGGUUAUCAUUCCGCGUUUUCAUCUUCAAGAGGUUCCGCGGCGAUCGGGGUUCGAUUCCCCGCAUCGGAG